Molecule: ribosomal RNA, 177 nt
Filed under: uncultured bacterium
Lineage: Bacteria
Description: partial 16S ribosomal RNA
Rfam family: Bacterial small subunit ribosomal RNA
Source: RNAcentral
CCUACGGGAGGCAGCAGUGGGGAAUUUUGGACAAUGGGCGAAAGCCUGAUCCAGCCAUUCCGCGUGCAGGAUGAAGGCCUCGGGUUGUAAACUGCUUUUGUACAGAACGAAAAAGCUCCGGCUAAUACCUGGAGUCCAUGACGGUACUGUAAGAAUAAGCACCGGCUAACUACGUGC